GAGUUUGAUCCUGGCUCAGAUUGAACGCUGGCGGCAGGCCUAACACAUGCAAGUCGAGCGGAUGACGGGAGCUUGCUCCUUGAUUCAGCGGCGGACGGGUGAGUAAUGCCUAGGAAUCUGCCUGGUAGUGGGGGGACAACGUUUCGAAAGGAACGCUAAUACCGCAUACGUCCUACGGGAGAAAGCAGGGGACCUUCGGGCCUUGCGCUAUCAGAUGAGCCUAGGUCGGAUUAGCUAGUUGGUGGGGUAAUGGCUCACCAAGGCGACGAUCCGUAACUGGUCUGAGAGGAUGAUCAGUCACACUGGAACUGAGACACGGUCCAGACUCCUACGGGAGGCAGCAGUGGGGAAUAUUGGACAAUGGGCGAAAGCCUAAUCCAGCCAUGCCGCGUGUGUGAAGAAGGUCUUCGGAUUGUAAAGCACUUUAAGUUGGGAGGAAGGGCAGUAAGUUAAUACCUUGCUGUUUUGACGUUACCGACAGAAUAAGCACCGGCUAACUCUGUG
Molecule: ribosomal RNA, 504 nt
Filed under: bacterium enrichment culture clone ALO1_GLFRUDD03F7OBS
Lineage: Bacteria
Description: bacterial SSU rRNA
Rfam family: Bacterial small subunit ribosomal RNA
Source: RNAcentral